AGAGUUUGAUCCUGGCUCAGAUUGAACGCUGGCGGCAGGCCUAACACAUGCAAGUCGGGCGGUAACAGGGAGAAGCUUGCUUCUCUGCUGACGAGCGGCGGACGGGUGAGUAAUGUCUGGGAAACUGCCCGAUGGAGGGGGAUAACUACUGGAAACGGUAGCUAAUACCGCAUACGCCCUACGGGGGAAAGCAGGGGACCUUCUGGCCUUGCGCGAUUGGAUAUGCCCAGGUGGGAUUAGCUAGUUGGUGAGGUAAUGGCUCACCAAGGCGACGAUCCCUAGCUGGCCUGAGAGGAUGAUCAGCCACACUGGAACUGAGACACGGUCCAGACUCCUACGGGAGGCAGCAGUGGGGAAUACUGCACAAUGGGGGAAACCCUGAUGCAGCCAUGCCGCGUGUGUGAAGAAGGCCUUCGGGUUGUAAAGCACUUUCAGCGAGGAGGAAGGCAUUAAGGUUAAUAACCUUGGUGAUUGACGUUACUCGCAGAAGAAGCACCGGCUAACUCCGUGCCAGCCGCCGCGGUAAUUC
Molecule: ribosomal RNA, 529 nt
Filed under: uncultured bacterium
Lineage: Bacteria
Description: bacterial SSU rRNA
Rfam family: Bacterial small subunit ribosomal RNA
Source: RNAcentral